GAUGAACGCUGGCGGCGUGCCUAAUACAUGCAAGUCGAGCGAACGGACGAGAAGCUUGCUUCUCUGAUGUUAGCGGCGGACGGGUGAGUAACACGUGGAUAACCUACCUAUAAGACUGGGAUAACUUCGGGAAACCGGAGCUAAUACCGGAUGAUAUUUUGAACCGCAUGGUUCAAAAGUGAAAGACGGUCUUGCUGUCACUUAUAGAUGGAUCCGCGCUGCAUUAGCUAGUUGGUAAGGUAACGGCUUACCAAGGCAACGAUGCAUAGCCGACCUGAGAGCGUGAUGGGCCACUCUGGGACCGAGACACGGUCCUGACUCCUACGGGAGGCAGCAGUACGGAAUCUUCCGAGAUGGGCGAAAGCCUGACGGAGCAACGCCGCGUGGGUGAUGAAGGUCUUCGGAUCGUAAAACUCUGUUAUUAGUGAAGAACAUAUGUGUAAGUAACUGUGCACAUCUUGACGGUACCUAAUCAGAAAGCCACGGCUAACUACGUG
RNAcentral lists this ribosomal RNA (497 nucleotides) under uncultured bacterium. RNAcentral's name for it is "partial 16S ribosomal RNA". It matches the Rfam family "Bacterial small subunit ribosomal RNA", at positions 28 to 507 of the family's 1533-position model. The record is from RNAcentral.